RNAcentral lists this ribosomal RNA (756 nucleotides) under uncultured bacterium. RNAcentral describes it as "bacterial SSU rRNA". It matches the Rfam family "Bacterial small subunit ribosomal RNA", at positions 8 to 796 of the family's 1533-position model. The record is from RNAcentral.
AGAGUUUGAUCCUGGCUCAGAAUCAACGCUGGCGGCGCGCUUAACACAUGCAAGUCGAACGAGAAAGCCCCGCAAGGGGUGAGUAAAGUGGCGUACGGGUGAGUAACACGUGGGUAAUCUACCUUUUGGUGGGGAAUAACCCUGGGAAACCGGGGCUAAUACCGCAUAAGCUCGAAAGAGGAAAGGAGCAAUUCGCCGAAAGAGGAGCCCGCGGCUGAUUAGCUAGUUGGUGAGGUAAAGGCUCACCAAGGCUAUGAUCGGUAGCCGGCCUGAGAGGGCACACGGCCACACUGGCACUGAAACACGGGCCAGACUCCUACGGGAGGCAGCAGUGGGGAAUCUUGCACAAUGGGGGAAACCCUGAUGCAGCGACGCCGCGUGAGCGAUGAAGCCCUUCGGGGUGUAAAGCUCUUUCGGCAGGGACGAUAAUGACGGUACCCGAAGAAGAAGCUGCGGCUAACUACGUGCCAGCAGCCGCGGUAAUACGUAGGCAGCGAGCGUUGUUCGGAGUUACUGGGCGUAAAGAGUGCGUAGGCGGUUUUCUAAGUUUGGUGUGAAAUCUCCCGGCUUAACUGGGAGGGUGCGCCGAAGACUGGAAGGCUAGAGUAUGGGAGAGGUAAGCGGAAUUCCUGGUGUAGCGGUGAAAUGCGUAGAUAUCAGGAGGAACACCUGCGGUGUAGACGGCUUACUGGACCAUAACUGACGCUGAGGCACGAAAGCGUGGGUAGCAAACAGGAUUAGAUACCCUAGUAGUCC